RNAcentral lists this ribosomal RNA (440 nucleotides) under uncultured bacterium. RNAcentral describes it as "partial 16S ribosomal RNA". It matches the Rfam family "Bacterial small subunit ribosomal RNA", at positions 338 to 795 of the family's 1533-position model. The record is from RNAcentral.
CCUACGGGUGGCAGCAGUGGGGGAUAUUGCACAAUGGGGGGAACCCUGAUGCAGCUACGCCGCGUGGGUGAAGAAGCGCCUCGGCGCGUAAAGCCCUGUCAGCAGGGAAGAAAAUGACGGUACCUGAAGAAGAAGCCCCGGCUAACUACGUGCCAGCAGCCGCGGGAAUACGUAGGGGGCAAGCGUGAGCCGGAUGUACUGGUGGGAAGGUGGGCGCAGACGGCGAUGCAAGCCAGGAGUGAAAGCCCGGGGCCCAACCCCGGGACUGCUCGUGGAACUGCGUGGCUGGAGUGCAGGAGGGGCAGGCGGAAUUCCUGGUGUAGGGGUGAAAUGCGUAGAUAUCAGGAGGAACACCGGUGGCGAAGGCGACCAGCUGGACUGCAACUGACGUUGAGGCCCGAAAGCGUGGGGAGCAAACAGGAUUAGAUACCCUUGUAGUC